UAGGAAUAAAUACAUCAGUAAAGACCAAA
RNAcentral lists this small RNA (29 nucleotides) under Bombyx mori (domestic silkworm). RNAcentral describes it as "ovarian small RNA-22635". Lineage: Eukaryota; Metazoa; Arthropoda; Insecta; Lepidoptera; Bombycidae. The record is from RNAcentral.